RNA transcript from Frieseomelitta varia, 1293 nucleotides. RefSeq lists it as uncharacterized. The transcript is spliced from 4 exons. NCBI's taxonomy places the organism in Eukaryota, Metazoa, Arthropoda, Insecta, Hymenoptera, Apidae. The record is from RefSeq and is a predicted model, not a curated record.
AGAUAAAACCGCGACAAUUAGCAUACGUGAGGUCAGUCGAUGGAUUCAACGAGAAAGAGGCGGGAUGGAACGUCACACCUGCAGUCCCUAGUACUUGUUUCGACUAUCUAUGUUUGGAGUCGUAGCUCGCCGCCUCGCUAUUAGUUUGUUUCACAUCAAAAGAAAUUCAUUUCUGCGUAAAGUUUACUUUGGUACUUGGCUGUUCCGCUGCUGAACAACGCGACGAGAUGUUUGGAGAAGAUCUAUGGUAUCGUGGUAUGUGCUCGUUUUCCACCACUGUGAUAUCUCUUCACGAAGAAUACCUAGCCUGAAGAUUAAUGAACUUGUACUCUUGAAACAGGACUUUGUCAAGGUUGACACGAAAGCUGUUUCCUGAACAACUGCAUACAUACUCCAAACUGGCAAACCAGAGGGAGAUUAGGGUGUGUUUAAGGCGAGGCGGCUGCUUUCCAUUACGUUGGUUUCUUAAAUCCAGCGGUCGAAUUCGAAACUGCGCGUCGCUUUAUCGUUUGAUCUUCCUCCAAAGCCACGAUAUAACGUUCAUCGACACUGAAGAACAGUUAGAUUUCUGUGGAGAAAAGAAAAGGAAUGACUGGUUUGGAAGAGGGAAGAUAAUUGCCAGCAGCGUUGUGAGAACGAUUGUGCACGUGUGUGUGGCAUAGCAGAGCGCGUGUACGCAAAGAAAUACAUACUUAUCAGCCGGAUACUUGUUCCGCAGAAAAACAACAAGACGAUGAACCAGUUGACAGUGGUGAACUCGUGGAAGAAGUGCUAAUGAUGAUGACGAUCCUGCCGUACUAUUACGUUUCCAGGAAUGUAUGUGGCCUUACCAAGACUGUACAGGGUGGACGAAUAGAAUGUUAUGGAACCAAAUAUCUUUUCAAGAGGAUAACGGCUUGGCAAAAUUCUGAGCGUGAUUUCAAAUUGAUUUAUACAUCCAUGAGGUAAAUUAUUCACCCUAUAUGUACAUACAAAGUCUGUAAAAUAACAGACUUCCGUGGACGAUAUCAAGUUUUGAGUGCGCACCAUCACGUGGAAGGCCUUGAACUUUACCGUCCAUCUAAAAAAAGACUAUGAGAAACGACAUAGCAUGACUUUGAAAAAGGCCUGGCCCUAUGAAUUAUUAUUAUUAUUGAAAAUAAUGGUCAUCAUUAAUUUCAUUCCACUUCAAAAUGAUGGUACAUGAUAGAUACAUGAUAGUCUUUGGGAUUUGUCAAGGUAAUGAAUUCGUUGAAUGGCACAAAACAAACUUGCUAAUUAUGACGUUAUCACAGAAAUAAUGAAAUUUCAUUG